UAUUAUAUUAUAUUAUAUUAUAUUAUAUUAUAUUAUAUUAUAUUAUAUACACUAUUUUAUUUUUUCACCCACGUUCCUCUUAUCAGCUCUUAUCCAAUCACAUCCCAUUCUGCUUACAACCAAUCAGAAUUCAACAGACCUACUCUGGUUCUAUAAAGUCCCAUUUUUUCCAAGAGACCUUAGGUUUUAACACUUCAAGAGAACAGUAACUUGCCUGAAUCUUCCUUAUUUUAUCCUGAGGCUUCUUCUAAGAUGGAUAUUCCUGGAUAUGCCAAGAGGUUCCUGGACAAGAAUGGCAUUCCCAGUCAUGGGUUUAUUUUGGAUGCUGUUGUUGCUUACACUGAAUUCUUGCAGGACAAAGGCAGGCUCCCCCCCCACUCUACUACCAAGAUGGUCGAUGCGUCUGCUCAGACCCCUGUCCGUGUUCCUCCUCGAACCUCUUCCAAGAGCACUCAAUGUUCUGAGUGGUCUUUGUAUGAGGAUUAUUAAAGUAAAUGUUCAUCCUAAACCUUA
Tachysurus fulvidraco (yellow catfish) is the source of this 513-nucleotide long non-coding RNA. RefSeq lists it as uncharacterized. The transcript has 2 exons. The record is from RefSeq and is a predicted model, not a curated record. NCBI's taxonomy places the organism in Eukaryota, Metazoa, Chordata, Actinopteri, Siluriformes, Bagridae.